RNAcentral lists this ribosomal RNA (524 nucleotides) under uncultured bacterium. Its description in RNAcentral is "bacterial SSU rRNA". It matches the Rfam family "Bacterial small subunit ribosomal RNA", at positions 355 to 895 of the family's 1533-position model. The record is from RNAcentral.
UGGGGAAUCUUGGACAAUGGGGGCAACCCUGAUCCAGCCAUGCCGCGUGAGUGAUGAAGGCCUUAGGGUCGUAAAGCUCUUUCGCCUGUGAAGAUAAUGACGGUAGCAGGUAAAGAAACCCCGCUAACUCCGUGCCAGCAGCCGCGGUAAUACGGAGGGGGUUAGCGUUGUUCGGAAUUACUGGGCGUAAAGCGCACGUAGGCGGACCAGAAAGUUGGGGGUGAAAUCCCGGGGGCUCAACCCCCGGAACUGCCUCCAAAACUAUUGGUCUAGAGUUCGAGAGAGGUGAGUGGAAUUCCAAGUGUAGAGGUGAAAUUCGUAGAUAUUUGGAGGAACACCAGUGGCGAAGGCGGCUCACUGGCUCGAUACUGACGCUGAGGUGCGAAAGUGUGGGGAGCAAACAGGAUUAGAUACCCUGGUAGUCCACACCGUAAAACGAUGAAUGCCAGUCGUCGGGUAGCAUGCUAUUCGGUGACACACCUAACGGAUUAAGCAUUCCGCCUGGGGAGUACGGUCGCAAGAUU